Long non-coding RNA from Salvelinus sp. IW2-2015, 1280 nucleotides. RefSeq lists it as uncharacterized. The record is from RefSeq and is a predicted model, not a curated record. NCBI's taxonomy places the organism in Eukaryota, Metazoa, Chordata, Actinopteri, Salmoniformes, Salmonidae.
UUCUCAAAAAAUGUUGGUGAAAUGUUAUUCCAUUAGGGUUGGGUUCUGGUAAAGGGAGAAUACAUUUUAGAGCCCGGGACCAUAACCCCAUGCUGUAAAUACUGCUAGUGACUUGAGCGUGGCCUCCUUGGUGUCUUAGUGAAAGUGUCUCUCUUUCUUCCCUUGUACCUCAGGUGCAAAGUCCACUGUCAACAUGUCUGACACAGAGGAAGUCGAAGGUAAGUAACAUUAUUACUUUAUUAUUGCUAGGUAUCAUUAUUGUCUCUUGUCAUUAUCAUAGUCAUUUUAAAUCAGUAAUUGUUCAAUCGUAUGCUGAAUCAUUCUGUAUGUUUUUGAAACAACAUCUAACUGAUUUCAGUCCUCUAUGCAGAAUAGUUCAAUGCAAUGGACAAACUUGGCUUCCCUCCUUGGAGUUCAAGUUGUGUUCAAUACUGCCCUCUACAGCACAACAGCAUGUAUUGACUUUGUUUAUGAUACUGUGAAUUUGGAGAAAGCCAUGAUUUAGGGAUCUUUUCAAUCUAUAAAGCUGAACUUCCAGUUUCAGGAAUGUUUCAGAAGCCAAUGUUGAUAACAGGCCAUGCGGUAAAUUAAUCCUAUGCAUCAAAAAUUAGAAUGAAUUAAAGCAUACCUUUAAAUUAUUUUCUAAAUGUCAGACCACAUACAUCUAUUAGUCUGUUAGCAACAGGUCCCUGCAACUCUGUAGACCUUUCCCAGUAAUACUGUCCUCCUAGUUUGUACAUAUUCUGUCUGAAUACAAAUACAUAACGUGUCUCCUCAUUAUGAAGGUAGAUGAUUCAAGCCUAUUAUACUACCAGGCCAUGAAAUGUUUUGUCUGCUCAAAAGUCUGUGAACUUGGUACCAUUUGAUUAGCUAUGGAGGACUGUAUUGUGUACGCAUACAACGGAUCCCUACUGUACCCAUAUUUACAGUAUAUUAUAUAUACUAAAUAUUAUAAACUGAUAUAUUGGGUACAGCCGGGUUCUUUUGGUAACACUAUUGUUUUACUGCUUUCUUUCUCCGAAAAAAACAAAACUCUCCAUGGAGGCGAGGGAGAAGGUAAAAAAACAAUGAUGCUCAGACUACGAAGACGGUCAUGUCAUCUAUACUAAUUUGUCAUUGUUUCGCUCUUGAUCUUCAGUGUGUUUGAGAAUGUGCGUUCAACUCAUUGGAUCUUCAUGUAGCUCGUAGCAUGUUGGAUAACGCUAAUGCUACCUCACUUCAUCAGAAUAAUGCUACCUCCUCAUUCAAACGCCUUACUUCAUCAGACUAAUGCUACCUCC